CAUGCAGUCCAGCGGAUGAGAAGAGCUUGCUCUUCGAUUCAGCGGCGGACGGGUGAGUAAUGCCUAGGAAUCUGCCUGGUAGUGGGGGACAACGUUUCGAAAGGAACGCUAAUACCGCAUACGUCCUACGGGUAGAAAGCAGGGGACCUUCGGGCCUUGCGCUAUCAGAUGAGCCUAGGUCGGAUUAGCUAGUUGGUGAGGUAAUGGCUCACCAAGGCGACGAUCCGUAACUGGUCUGAGAGGAUGAUCAGUCACACUGGAACUGAGACACGGUCCAGACUCCUACGGGAGGCAGCAGUGAGGAAUAUUGGACAAUGGGCGAAAGCCUGAUCCAGCCAUGCCGCGUGUGUGAAGAAGGUCUUCGGAUUGUAAAGCACUUUAAGUUGGGAGGAAGGGCAUUAACCUAAUACGUUAGUGUUUUGACGUUACCGAGUGAAUAAGCUCCGGCUAACUCUGUGCCGGCAGCGCGCGGUAAUACAGAGGAUGCUAGCGUUAAUCGGAAUUACUGGGCGUAAAGCGCGCGUAGGUGGUUUGUCAAGUUGGAUGUGAAAGCCCCGGGCUCAACCUGGGAACUGCAUC
Molecule: ribosomal RNA, 579 nt
Filed under: uncultured bacterium
Lineage: Bacteria
Description: bacterial SSU rRNA
Rfam family: Bacterial small subunit ribosomal RNA
Source: RNAcentral